Molecule: ribosomal RNA, 494 nt
Filed under: uncultured bacterium
Lineage: Bacteria
Description: partial 16S ribosomal RNA
Rfam family: Bacterial small subunit ribosomal RNA
Source: RNAcentral
AUUGAACGCUGGCGGCAUGCUUUACACAUGCAAGUCGAACGGCAGCGGGGAGGAGCUUGCUUCUCUGCCGGCGAGUGGCGAACGGGUGAGUAAUACAUCGGAACGUGUCGAGAAGAGUGGGAUAACCACCCGAAAGGGUGGCUAAUACCGCAUAAAUUCUGAGGAAGAAAGCUGGGGACCUAGGAAUAGGCCUAGCGCUUUUUGAGCGGCCGAUGUCGGAUUAGCUAGUUGGUGAGGUAAAGGCUCACCAAGGCGAAGAUCUGUAGCGGGUCUGAGAGGUUGAUCCGCCACACUGGGACUGAGACACGGCCCAGACUCCUACGGGAGGCAGCAGUGGGGAAUUUUGGACAAUGGGGGCAACCCUGAUCCAGCCAUGCCGCGUGUAUGAAGAAGGCCUUAGGGUUGUAAAGUACUUUUGUUAGGGAAGAAAAGUCAGCUGUGAAUAAUGGCUGAUACUGACGGUACCUAAAGAAUAAGCACCGGCUAACUACGUG